AUGAAGUUCAAUAACUUGCAUAUAUUCGUUGUUCAUUUAAGACUAAAUGUUUAGUUGUGGUAAAUAAACAUUUAGCCUCAAGACACAUUAAUUGGGAUCUACCAAUUUCUGCAAAGAAAGCAAGAGAUAAGACUAUUGCUUUUUCACAUCAUCACUGUAGUAUCAUUCCAUUUCUUUCACCUUAUUCACCUUAUUGUCCCUGUAAUUAGAUAGCCCAAAUGAGAAAAUUGUACUUAAAAGUUCUAAAUAGUUCUAAAGUUACUCAUCAACACUGAGUUAUGUGUUCCUCCAGAAAGGAGGUCAAGUUUAUGGCUUUUGAAUAAAAAUACUUGCAACAUUAGCCCUAGAAAUUGGAAGCACUGAUUGAAUGUCUGUUUCUCCAGAUUUAGAUGGAAAAAAGAAAAGAAAAGAAAAGAACAUGCAAGGUAAAUAGCAUGAACAAAGUAUUUAAAGAUGUGGAAUUUCAGACCAAAGCAAAUAAUAUUGAAUGCAAUAAUCACUCAAACAGCAAGAACUAAGCCACUGUUUAAUCUCUAAAUACGUUGCAACCCAAACCCCAAUGGACAUGGUAAUGACUAAGACUUAUAUUCCCAAAACCUGUAUAUACAUAUUAUCCACAUACCCUAGCAAGUAAUAACUGACACCAAAGAAAAUAGCAUUUUAUCCAAAAUUUGGCAUCAUAAAUUAAACCAUACUAAGUAAUAUUGUCAAAUAUUCUAGACUCUGAAAAUCAACCAAAAUACACCAGUUUUGAAACUAGAUUGGAAGCUUCAAGGAUAACAUCAAAUUUAUAAUUCAGCUAGCAUAACCAUUAAGAAAAGUAUUAACAAUUGUCCCAAGUGUCAUCUAGAGGCCAUACCCCAAGACCCACAUAACCUCCUAAACUCUAGCUAGAUGGUCCUACAUACUGUUUGAAAAAUACAAGUAUUUUCUGAGUCACAGUAUUAAGUAGAAGUAAUUAGCUUGGCAUUUGUAGUCUAAUCAUUUCAUAGAAUUGAUUUUUUCCCUUUACAAAACAUUAUAAUUGGAACAAUAAUAUAUAAGUGCAGUCUAAUGCUCGAAGGGUCUGCCUGGGAUGAAUGACUAAGACAUCUUGGAUUCGAUUUUGCACUAGGAGUACCCUGAAUUACCUGAUACUUGGUUCUGGCAGGAACUGGAGGUAUAUAGUGGUUAUUCAAACUUUUCCAUUGGUGUUGAAAAGUCUGAAUCCAAUUGCUGGUUUCCUUGUUUAUUUUCUACCAUUUUGGAAGUGUCUGGCAGCCAGUAUCCUUCGUGAUGCUAUUUAUGUCAGUUGAAACAGACCAAUUAAGUUAACACCAGUUAAGCAUCUUGUGUGGUACAAGUACCCGAGUAAGUUUUUCUAGCUCCUUUGUUAUUCAUACAACCAAUUUUCUAUUUAUAAAUUAACAAUAUCCCUUUGGUGCAUUACCAAAUCCAGAAAUUAAAUUAAUCCAUUGUUACUUACUGGCAAACCUCAGUAUAUGAUUUUAAACAAAUAGUGAACUGAAAAGUUGUUAAUUGAAGAAGAAAAGAUUGUACACGUUUUUUGUGAACGAUAUUUUUGCUGAUCAAUCAAAUAUAGUAAAGCUAGGAGUAGUAAUGGAACAGUAUAUUGUUGUUAGUUUUAUGUUUUACCUUCUUAGCCUUUUUUCUCCUUACUUGAUGGUCAAAGGCACUAAAGACCUCUGCCCACUAACCACAUAACCCUGCUCACAUAAUUUUUCUCUAGACCUGGGUAAUCUCUAAGUAGGCCUGGUUAUGAGCAAAUAGAUUGCCAUGCACUAUAGGCAUUUGUAGUCUAGGACUAGGGUAAACUCAAAAAGAAUGUCGGCAAUACUUCAAAACGGUUAGACAAAUUCUACUUACAAAAAAAAA
This is a long non-coding RNA of Juglans regia (Persian walnut), 1875 nucleotides long. RefSeq lists it as uncharacterized. The record is from RefSeq and is a predicted model, not a curated record. NCBI's taxonomy places the organism in Eukaryota, Viridiplantae, Streptophyta, Magnoliopsida, Fagales, Juglandaceae. The transcript has 2 exons.